AAUGGAAUGGCCGAUUAAAGCGAUAAAUUGUAAAUUUAUUUAUGAUCAAAAGAUCUUCCAUUA
This 63-nucleotide transfer RNA is filed under the name Kaestneriella sp. KaspPE. Its description in RNAcentral is "tRNA-Tyr". Lineage: Eukaryota; Metazoa; Arthropoda; Insecta; Psocodea; Peripsocidae. The record is from RNAcentral.